GCCUGCAUGAAGUCGGAAUUGCUAGUAAUCNCGGAUCAGCAUGCCGCGGUGAAUACGUUCCCGGGCCUUGUACACACCGCCCGUCACACCAUGGGAGCCGGUAAUACCCGAAGUCAGUAGUCCAACCUCGUGAGGACGCUGCCGAAGGUAGGAUUGGCGACUGGGGUGAAGUCGUAACAAGGUAAC
This 186-nucleotide ribosomal RNA is filed under the name uncultured bacterium. RNAcentral describes it as "partial 16S ribosomal RNA". It matches the Rfam family "Bacterial small subunit ribosomal RNA", at positions 1314 to 1500 of the family's 1533-position model. The record is from RNAcentral.